This 463-nucleotide ribosomal RNA is filed under the name uncultured bacterium. RNAcentral's name for it is "partial 16S ribosomal RNA". It matches the Rfam family "Bacterial small subunit ribosomal RNA", at positions 28 to 507 of the family's 1533-position model. The record is from RNAcentral.
GACGAACGCUGGCGGCGUGCUUAACACAUGCAAGUCGAACGGAAAGGCCUUUUCGGCGGUACUCGAGUGGCGAACGGGUGAGUAACACGUGGGUGAUCUGCCCUGCACUCUGGGAUAAGCCUGGGAAACUGGGUCUAAUACCGGAUAGGACCGCACUUUAGUGUGUGUGGUGGAAAGUUUUUUCGGUGUAGGAUGAGCCCGCGGCCUAUCAGCUUGUUGGUGGGGUAAUGGCCUACCAAGGCGGCGACGGGUAGCCGGACUGAGAGGUUGGUCGGCCACAUUGGGACUGAGAUACGGCCCAGACGCCUACGGGAGGCAGCAGUGGGGAAUAUUGCACAAUGGGCGCAAGCCUGAUGCAGCGACGCCGCGUGGGGGAUGACGGCCUUCGGGUUGGAAACUCCUUUCGCCAGGGACGAAGCGUUUUGUGACGGUACCUGGAGAAGAAGCACCGGCUAACUACGUG